Molecule: ribosomal RNA, 1541 nt
Filed under: Salmonella enterica
Lineage: Bacteria; Pseudomonadati; Pseudomonadota; Gammaproteobacteria; Enterobacterales; Enterobacteriaceae
Description: bacterial SSU rRNA
Rfam family: Bacterial small subunit ribosomal RNA
Source: RNAcentral
AAAUUGAAGAGUUUGAUCAUGGCUCAGAUUGAACGCUGGCGGCAGGCCUAACACAUGCAAGUCGAACGGUAACAGGAAGCAGCUUGCUGCUUUGCUGACGAGUGGCGGACGGGUGAGUAAUGUCUGGGAAACUGCCUGAUGGAGGGGGAUAACUACUGGAAACGGUGGCUAAUACCGCAUAACGUCGCAAGACCAAAGAGGGGGACCUUCGGGCCUCUUGCCAUCAGAUGUGCCCAGAUGGGAUUAGCUUGUUGGUGAGGUAACGGCUCACCAAGGCGACGAUCCCUAGCUGGUCUGAGAGGAUGACCAGCCACACUGGAACUGAGACACGGUCCAGACUCCUACGGGAGGCAGCAGUGGGGAAUAUUGCACAAUGGGCGCAAGCCUGAUGCAGCCAUGCCGCGUGUAUGAAGAAGGCCUUCGGGUUGUAAAGUACUUUCAGCGGGGAGGAAGGUGUUGUGGUUAAUAACCGCAGCAAUUGACGUUACCCGCAGAAGAAGCACCGGCUAACUCCGUGCCAGCAGCCGCGGUAAUACGGAGGGUGCAAGCGUUAAUCGGAAUUACUGGGCGUAAAGCGCACGCAGGCGGUCUGUCAAGUCGGAUGUGAAAUCCCCGGGCUCAACCUGGGAACUGCAUUCGAAACUGGCAGGCUUGAGUCUUGUAGAGGGGGGUAGAAUUCGGGUGUAGCGGUGAAAUGCGUAGAGAUCUGGAGGAAUACCGGUGGCGAAGGCGGCCCCCUGGACAAAGACUGACGCUCAGGUGCGAAAGCGUGGGGAGCAAACAGGAUUAGAUACCCUGGUAGUCCACGCCGUAAACGAUGUCUACUUGGAGGUUGUGCCCUUGAGGCGUGGCUUCCGGAGCUAACGCGUUAAGUAGACCGCCUGGGGAGUACGGCCGCAAGGUUAAAACUCAAAUGAAUUGACGGGGGCCCGCACAAGCGGUGGAGCAUGUGGUUUAAUUCGAUGCAACGCGAAGAACCUUACCUGGUCUUGACAUCCACAGAAGAAUCCAGAGAUGGAUUUGUGCCUUCGGGAACUGUGAGACAGGUGCUGCAUGGCUGUCGUCAGCUCGUGUUGUGAAAUGUUGGGUUAAGUCCCGCAACGAGCGCAACCCUUAUCCUUUGUUGCCAGCGGUUAGGCCGGGAACUCAAAGGAGACUGCCAGUGAUAAACUGGAGGAAGGUGGGGAUGACGUCAAGUCAUCAUGGCCCUUACGACCAGGGCUACACACGUGCUACAAUGGCGCAUACAAAGAGAAGCGACCUCGCGAGAGCAAGCGGACCUCAUAAAGUGCGUCGUAGUCCGGAUUGGAGUCUGCAACUCGACUCCAUGAAGUCGGAAUCGCUAGUAAUCGUGGAUCAGAAUGCCACGGUGAAUACGUUCCCGGGCCUUGUACACACCGCCCGUCACACCAUGGGAGUGGGUUGCAAAAGAAGUAGGUAGCUUAACCUUCGGGAGGGCGCUUACCACUUUGUGAUUCAUGACUGGGGUGAAGUCGUAACAAGGUAACCGUAGGGGAACCUGCGGUUGGAUCACCUCCUUA